ACAUACGGAGUUACGACGUGCUCAGUGCUCUGCCUCCGCUGCUGUUUCCAAAACCGUUCGUCGCCCGAUUCUCGCGAGUCUCCUCGUAACGUCGCAGUCCGUAGCAGCGCGGGAUGGUGCUGGUGUGAUGCGUCGUUCGUAGCGUCAACGCCGCCGCCCGCACGUAAAACCCGCGGGGCUGGGCGGGUGCCGCACGCACACGAUGAUCGCCCCGCCCGCCUCAUCGGCGGCUGCUGCCGCCGCACGCUGAAAACAGCUGACCGCCCAGCGCGUAGCAGCAGCGACGAUGGCAGCGAAGGACGUGGCUCGCUCGCCGUUCGAGUUCCUCAGCCUGGUACCGCAGGGCCAUGAGAAGGCGCUCAAGCUGGCCGUCUACAACACGGCGACGCUCGUGUUCGCCGCCUUCGUGAGCGCCGCCGGUGUGGCCGUGUACUUCAUACUGCAGCCCUUCCUCGGGCCGCUCCUGUGGGCGCUCCUCUUCGGGUCGGUGCUUCACCCGUUCAAGCGCUCGCUCUGCCUGCUCCUGGGCGGAUGGCUGGACGCGCUGCGCGAGGCGGGCACGCCGCUCGCCGUGGGCGUCUUCUGCCUGCCCUUCCAGGUGGUCGACAGCGUGGCCGAGCGUGCUUGCAACACGGUGCUGCAGUACUUCAAGUGGUUCCUCGCCGCCUCCAUACUCGUGCCCCUCGUCUACUUCGCGCACCACUUCCUGCCCGUCACGGUCGCCUGGAAAGUGUUCGCCGUCCUGCGCGUCUUCUACCACAUCGUGUCGGCGACGUUGGAGAUCUUCUCCUCGGGAUGGAUGGUUUGGGGAAUGCUGGUGGGCUAUCUAGGCGCGCUGGUGUUCUGGUGGACACCGCAGACGGAAGGGCCCCUACGCGCUAUGUCGCCUGCUGUUUGGCUGGCUGUCAUCUGCCAUCUGGCCACCGUGGCAGGCAUGUGGCGGGUGCCAAUCCUGGUUGCAUUCCUGGCCCUGCUUGCCACAGGCUUCCUGGCUGAGCUGCGCGGUGCCACAAUUGAGUGUGGGGAGCAUGGAACAGCAGAGCCCGGUUCACCUUGUGUGAGCACGCUGUACGCUGGCUGGGCUUGGCUCACGGGAUCACCUGUGGCAGCAUCUACUCAGGACCACCUGGGCCCUCCGAAGCCGAUCGCCAAGAAGCGGGUGUCAUUCAGCCUUGAGCCAGACACUGUGUUUCUGCCAGGCAUGGCCCCACCAGAGUCUCCACGCAAGACCUCCCUGUCGUCUCAAGAUAAAGGCGCCAGCCAAGAGGCCGACGGUGCCAGCACCAGUGCACCAUCGGACGAAUCAAAGAUAGCACCCCUGCACCCUGUUCUGCACCGGCAACCCUCUCCUGCACCUGGAUCGAGCGAGGGCGACAUUGUGCUGCCAGCCAUCACAGUGCAGCCAGCCAUCACUGUGCAAGACAGUGACCAGGGCAGCAAGAGCAAGGAGGAAGAUUCUGAGGCAAAAAGUGGCAAGGAUGCUGGGAGGAGCAGACUUUACCUGUCCACGCUGGUGUGGGCCUGCCUGCUUGCUCAACUGUGGCGCUACAUCUGGCUCCUGCAUCUCACUUACGUGCCUCUGCUGUACACCGUCAUCAAGCGAGUGGGCAACCACUUGAACCUAUGGAGCUGUCUUCGGGAUCAGUCACGUACUGCGUGCUGGACAUUGCGUAACUGGUACGAAGAACGUAGCCAGGCGCUUUUCCCAGCCCCCGUGCACGGUCUUUGGCGACUGCUGCGGGAGGGAGACAAGCGUAUGGUGUCUGUGCUCAAAACGUCCAUAGACUCUCUCACCACCAUUGGCAUUUUGCUGGUAGUGUCUCUCCUGGCCACUGUGGGCACCAUCUUCCUCGCUUUGCAGGUAUACGGUGAGAGCAUGCACUUGGUGGAGGUGACAAGCAGCCUCAUCAACCACACUGUUGUCAACAGCCCAGAGCUCCAGCAACUACUGCCCGAAUCUUUGCGCAACGCCCAGGGGGCAUUUGACUCAAUGCUGGGAGAUGCCUACCUCUAUGGGCGUCAGUGGAUCAGUGGCGCGGUGCGACGAGCCCUGGAUGAUGCAGAUGAGUCGCACAUGUUGGAAGUUGAGCGGCAGACACUGGAGCUCUGGGACCGUGCCUACCACCUGUGGGUGGCACGCAAUGCCACUGAUGACCCCACCCAUCACCACGGGCCCUCGUGGGAUGCUCUCGCCGAUUCCCUGCAGAACCUCGAUUUUUCCCUCUUUACCAGCUUUGUUCGGGACAACAUCGGCACUCUUAUGUCGGUAUUUGAAUCUAUCUGGAACCUGCUGAAGGGCAACAUCAGUGUCGUUCUCAGCCUGGUUACAACAACAAUCUCAAUCCUGUUUGGCGGUGGUACUGCGGUUCUCAACUUUGUGCUAAAUUUUGUCGUGUUCUUGACUGCUCUCUUCUACCUUCUGCGUGCAAGCACGGACCGCUACAAGCCACUUGAUCUCUUUGCGAGCAUGUUGCCAGGCUCGGCUAGCCGCCUGGGCGAAGCUGUCGAGGAAGCUGUCGCGGGUGUCUUUGCAGCCUCUUUCAAGAUGGCCGCCUUCUACGGUCUCUACACAUGGCUAAUACACACGCUCUUUGAUGUCAAGAUGGUGUACAUUCCCACUGCACUGGCAUCCCUUUUUGGGGCGGUGCCUUUCAUUGGUGCAUACUGGGCCUGCCUGCCAGCUGUGCUGGAGCUGUGGCUGGUGCAAGCACAGCGUCUCAAGGCACUCCUCAUGCUUAUCUGCCAGCUGGCACCCACCUACUUUGUUGACUGCGCCAUCUAUGCCGAGAUUAAGGGGGGUGGUCAUCCCUUCCUGACUGGGCUGGCGAUAGCGGGCGGUGUUUUCUGCCUGGGCUUCCAGGGUGCACUGUUUGGGCCCAUGCUCCUGUGUGUUCUCAUUGUAGCCAUGAAAGUUUACCGCUCUGUGAUGCAAUCCAUGCCCUCUAGCACAGCGGGCCGACGCUUCAGCUUCAAGAGGUUUUAUUUGCCACGGCGAAACCAGAUGGUCGGGCUCUUUACACCAUCAAUGCUAAUUUGAGAAAUUGACAUCGGUGGCAGCAUCAAUGCUUGACCUCUUCACCCUUUGUGCAGGGGACUUAAACUGCACGUUUUAUCCAUCUGGAUGUUCACAAUAGACUAGCGUGGCAUGGCGCACAUCACCCCUGUGGAUCCAAGGUACAACAGCAGAUGAAGCAUCCUGGCAUCCACGGACAACCUGCCUCCUUACCAGCUGCUAGUCAUUUUGUGCCUUGCUCAGCCAGUUUCAAAUUGCCAAUGUAUGCCUUCCGUCUGCAGCGCACAACUGCCUCUGCAGCCUACAUCCUUGGCUUGUGCAAGCACCCUUUUAUGUUAACGCAAUUUUUCCUUGUCAUGUGUAUGCUAUACCAAUUGGUGCAGCACAGCAGAAUAUAACACGUUGUUGUCGCUUCGCGUAAAUGUUUUGAAAAUAUGUCGAAGCAAUAAUACUCGCAAUGUCACAAAUUCUUCUUGUGCUCGCAUUUCAAUACGGCCUAAGUACUACUAACACCAAAGAACAUUUUGUAAUUUUAUCGGUCACAUCAUCUGUUGAAGCUCGCCUUGUGGUCAUCGGGGCAUGUGACCAGGAAUGGCAACUUUUUGUGUGUGAAAUGUAUACGUCCAGAAAGCGUUGUUAUUGGUAAAAUCUUGCAUUUGAAUAGCGCAGUUAAGAAUUUUCACUAAGCACAAUCAUUUCAGGGAUGGAUCUGUUGCUGCUAGUUCCUCUAAUACUGUGUGAUUCAAGCAUGAAUGUUGAAUAGAUCAAUGACAGGUAACUUGGUGCCUGAAAAUUGCCUCCCAUCAUGUUGCUUAAUCCUUGUUGGUACAGAAGCUGCUUGCUAUUCAGACUAUUGAUAAUAUACAUCAGAUCUGCGGGAUGCAACCAUUGAUGUUAUUUAAACCAUUGAUGUUAUUUACAAAAUAAAGGUUGUGUUUAAUGAAAA
RNA transcript from Dermacentor silvarum, 3959 nucleotides. It is a transcript of the gene named transmembrane protein 245, with no coding region annotated. Lineage: Eukaryota; Metazoa; Arthropoda; Arachnida; Ixodida; Ixodidae. The record is from RefSeq and is a predicted model, not a curated record. The transcript has 17 exons.